Gallus gallus (chicken) is the source of this 507-nucleotide long non-coding RNA. RefSeq lists it as uncharacterized. Lineage: Eukaryota; Metazoa; Chordata; Aves; Galliformes; Phasianidae. The record is from RefSeq and is a predicted model, not a curated record. The transcript has 3 exons.
CACCACAGAAAAACCCGCCUUUUCUUCUCUCAGCGCUGCCACUGAUCCUUCUUGUUCUAAAAAGUGUAUGUGUGAAUUGUGGUGCUUUGGGAGGGACACUGGGAGAGCCAGGAGUGUUAUUUGAUGGCUAAUAUCAGCCUCAUCCCUUAAAUGUCUUCAGAGUGAGGGUUAUUUUGCACAGAACUGAGCUGAGGCACAGAGGCCUUCUCAGAAGGCAGUCGGCGCUGCACCAGAGGCUGCAGAUGCGACAUUUCACCUCAGCGGCUGGGAGCACUGAGUGCUCAGGUGUGGCUGGUGCUCUUUGUGCUGUCCCCAGAACAGCUGUGAGGAAAGGAGGUGGCAGUUUGUGAUGGUCCAUCUCUGGGUGCUCCUCAGUGGUGAGAGCAAAUAUGCAGCCCAAUCUCAGCUUCCACGAGUCACUUGUCCAACUCCUCCUCUCCAGCCCUCAGUCGUCCUGUGCUGUAUUUUUUCCCCUUGCAAAGGAGCACCAUGCUUGGUAAGUUUUAU